AAAGUCGUAACAAGGUUUCCGUAGGUGAACCUGCGGAAGGAUCAUUAACGAAUCGUUUGGUGGGGGGGGAUGUGAUGUGAGUAUAUUUGAGAAUUUGAGUAUAUUUGAAUAUUCAUCCCAUCCCCCUCUCCAUAUUAACCCCGUGCCUUGCCCCUGGGGGUUUGGCACAAUUAGUAGUCUCGGCUACUAAUAUAUUCACGCUUGUUUGUUUGACUAUAAAAUCAAUAUCAAAUAUACACAACUUUUAACAAUGGAUCUCUUGGCUCUC
RNAcentral lists this unclassified non-coding RNA (268 nucleotides) under Basidiomycota sp. Its description in RNAcentral is "partial contains small subunit ribosomal RNA, internal transcribed spacer 1, and 5.8S ribosomal RNA". The stretch from base 1 to 47 matches the Rfam family "Eukaryotic small subunit ribosomal RNA", at positions 1785 to 1831 of the family's 1831-position model. The record is from RNAcentral. Lineage: Eukaryota; Fungi; Basidiomycota.